This 80-nucleotide microRNA precursor is filed under the name Nomascus leucogenys (northern white-cheeked gibbon). Its description in RNAcentral is "miRNA (ENSNLEG00000029532.1)". Lineage: Eukaryota; Metazoa; Chordata; Mammalia; Primates; Hylobatidae. The record is from RNAcentral.
GUUGGUGCAAAAGUAAUUGCAGUUUUUGAUGGUUACUUUUAAUGGCAAAAACCGCAAUAACUUUUGCACCAACCUAAUAU